GUGCAGUUUUCUGAGCUGAUGUUUGCCUUUACGUGUAACUACUUUUGCAAAUGGAAAAUUGGAAACUGUACAAAAUAUGGAUCUCUGUACUGUACUGGAAUCUUGGUGCUACAGCUCAGGACUGAUGGAGAAAAUGCUGGGAAUGCACGUUUAAGGAAUAGAUUUAACAUAACAGUAGCAUAGGCUUACUGCACUAAAAUGAUUGGUCCGCACCAUUGAAAAGGAAGGUAGAAAUAUCCCUUAAAGCUACUUCUGCAAUGAACUGUUUUAAAAUAAAUAGUGCAGUAUAUCGCAGUGGUACAAUAUUUUCUACUGAACUGGUAGAAAGUUAGUAUGUUAAACAGCAACUACUGACAGGAAACAUCUUGGUGGAUUGAGUAACUUUGGGCUGGAAAUACUAAAGUAAUUUGCUUAAGAGCAUUCUGAACCUACAGUGUGAGUUUUCAACAAUCAUUGGAAAGCUGGGAAAAAUUCAGGAGACUCUGUGGAGCAGGAAGGGAGAAACUUGCCACAGACUCUUCUAGAGGAGGUUGAAGCAUCAACAUGCUUCAAAGGUAUCCUUGCUGCUUCCUGUUGGAAAGGGAUUUCAGACUGUGAAUUUCAGUUUGAGGUAGGUAUGAAAUUUUGCAGUGUAGGGAAAUGCUUGAGUUCCAGAAGGAGUAUGGUGCUCUCUCCACAGGUUUUUUCUGUCUGUUUUAGGAUAAUUUGGAAGCUUCCUCAUUUCUGGUGCUGUUGCAAUGCUCUUGCUGUGGUUUUUGUUUUGGGUUUUCAUUUGUUUUGUAUUAAUAGAUAUGAGUUUGUAUAACAAGCUCAAGUAUCUUAGGGUUAGGAAUUCUGUUAUGGCUGAAGAUCACAACGUCUGUAGCUGUGUCUCUUACCAAUUUACCCUCAAAGAAUUCAAGCUCUACUUACAGCCCAGCCCAAAGAAUUCUAUCCUCUUCUGUUCUGUCCUAGGAAAAGACUUCUUCAGUUAUGCUACUCAAGAGAAAGUCAGUCACACUAUUUAAGGGAAAAAGUCCUCAUAAGAUACCAUGCUUUCUAUGAACAGGAGAGGGAGGAUUGUAGUACUAAAAUUUACUGAAAUGAGGCUACAGUUCUAGCACAGGAAAUUCAGUAUAGAUCACAUCCAAAAUGUACCAAGAACAGUAAGGCAGUGUUCCUGAAGGAGCUGUUUAGCAGAUUUUCUACAUGCCUACUUCAGCUAAACAGUAACUUAACCUUGUGCAUUUCCCUGUCGUGAACUGUAGUUACUGGGACUGAAAAGUCUCUUCCCUUUGCCUCCUUUUGCAGACUGAAGCAUCUGUCCAAUGAUCCAUGAAGUCUGUCUGCAGGAGAACAAGAAUGAGCAGCUCAGAAAUCAAGGAGUUCAAAAUUUCCACUGUCUGUGUCAUGGCAGUGACUUGAGAUGCAUCCAUAAGAUUUCAAGUCUAUAAAUCUAUACAGUUUCAUUACCUUCUCAGUUUUUGUCUAUGUUAUUUAGCUGCAGUUUUUGUUAUGGACAUAUCUCUGACCAAAUUCUUAAGCCUGAUGACA
This 1533-nucleotide long non-coding RNA is filed under the name Gallus gallus (chicken). RNAcentral describes it as "long non-coding RNA NONGGAT004229". The record is from RNAcentral. Lineage: Eukaryota; Metazoa; Chordata; Aves; Galliformes; Phasianidae.